Long non-coding RNA from Carassius auratus (goldfish), 703 nucleotides. RefSeq lists it as uncharacterized. NCBI's taxonomy places the organism in Eukaryota, Metazoa, Chordata, Actinopteri, Cypriniformes, Cyprinidae. The record is from RefSeq and is a predicted model, not a curated record. The transcript has 5 exons.
AUUAGUUGUUUGUACUAUUUAGCUGAAAAAUUAAUUGCACUAAUCAGGUUUAGCAGAGAUUACUUGGUAUGUUUAAUUUUAUAAGGAAGGGGAGGGGGCUAAUUCAAAAACCUGCCUGGUCACGUGAAUAGACCACUGUCUAACGUGCGUCCUACACCUGGCGGGACGAGCACAGGCCUCGGCAGCAGACGGUACCCCCUGACUGGAAGCAACCUAACUCCAAGUGGAAUGAUCCUUGUGGUGUGAGGAUGCUGUGGAAGUGAUUGUGGGCAAGAACCUCAAGCAGGAAUUUUAUGAGAGCAUCGAUCGGCACAAUCCUCGUCUCCUCGAGUUAUUUCGAUCCAAGAGAGGGAAUGUUGGAUAGUUGUUGACACAGAUUUCACAACAGACCAAUACUACAGAGCCAACUGCGAUCCGGACACAGGUGCUCAGAGGACUUCCUAUCAUCCUUGGGGACAACCCCACAAACUUCUUCAAAGCAGGCUUUGAAUCAGAUGAUGAUGAUUCUUUUCGUGACCUCGACGUUGGGAUACUUCUUAUUGAGCGUAAAGGUGCUGUGCUCACAUCUUCCCAGCAUCUCAGUCCAGCCUCGCUGAAAAUCAUCAUUGAGGGAUGGACAACAUUCCAGAUCUGCCAAAAGCAAUGUGCAUUCUGUUUGGACUCACGUAUGCACUCCAUAUUAACUACCACAAGCAUCACGGAC